This 506-nucleotide ribosomal RNA is filed under the name uncultured Roseateles sp. RNAcentral describes it as "bacterial SSU rRNA". It matches the Rfam family "Bacterial small subunit ribosomal RNA", at positions 521 to 1024 of the family's 1533-position model. Lineage: Bacteria; Pseudomonadati; Pseudomonadota; Betaproteobacteria; Burkholderiales; Sphaerotilaceae. The record is from RNAcentral.
UAAUACGUAGGGUGCAAGCGUUAAUCGGAAUUACUGGGCGUAAAGCGUGCGCAGGCGGUUAUGUAAGACAGAGGUGAAAUCCCCGGGCUCAACCUGGGAACUGCCUUUGUGACUGCAUAGCUAGAGUACGGUAGAGGGGGAUGGAAUUCCGCGUGUAGCAGUGAAAUGCGUAGAUAUGCGGAGGAACACCGAUGGCGAAGGCAAUCCCCUGGACCUGUACUGACGCUCAUGAACGAAAGCGUGGGGAGCGAACAGGAUUAGAUACCCUGGUAGUCCACGCCGUAAACGGUGGGCGCUAGUUGUGGGGACCUUCCACGGUCUCUGCGACGCAGCUAACGCAUUAAGCGCCCCGCCUGGGGAGUACGAUCGCAAGAUUAAAACUCAAAGGAAUUGACGGGGCCCCGCACAAGCAGCGGAGCAUGCGGCUUAAUUCGACGCAACGCGAAGAACCUUACCAAGGCUUGACAUAUAGGGAAAAGCGGCAGAGAUGUCGUGUCCGCAAGGGC